Molecule: unclassified non-coding RNA, 717 nt
Filed under: Hevea brasiliensis (rubber tree)
Lineage: Eukaryota; Viridiplantae; Streptophyta; Magnoliopsida; Malpighiales; Euphorbiaceae
Source: RNAcentral
AGAUAUUAUUCCAGCUGAUGCUCGUUUACUAGAAGGUGAUCCACUGAAAAUUGACCAGUCUGCACUUACUGGUGAGUCUCUUCCUGUGACAAAAGGGCCUGGAGAUGGUAUUUACUCUGGUUCUACUUGCAAGCAAGGAGAGAUUGAAGCAGUGGUUAUUGCUACUGGUGUCCAUACCUUCUUUGGGAAGGCUGCUCACCUUGUGGAUACCACAAACCAAGUUGGCCACUUCCAAAAGGUCUUGACUGCAAUAGGGAAUUUUUGCAUAUGUUCAAUUGCUGUGGGGAUGGUUAUAGAGAUCAUUGUCAUGUACCCCAUUCAAGAUCGAAAGUAUCGUCCUGGAAUUGACAAUCUUCUUGUGCUUCUCAUUGGAGGAAUUCCAAUUGCGAUGCCAACUGUCCUGUCGGUGACAAUGGCUAUUGGUUCUCAUAGGUUAUCUCAGCAGGGUGCCAUCACAAAGAGAAUGACUGCAAUUGAAGAGAUGGCAGGCAUGGAUGUGCUUUGCAGUGACAAGACUGGAACUCUGACAUUAAACAAACUCACUGUUGACAAAAACCUUAUUGAGGUUUUUGCCAAAGGAGUAGAUGCGGAUACUGUUGUUUUGAUGGCAGCUCGAGCCUCUAGAACAGAGAAUCAAGAUGCAAUUGAUUCUGCUAUUGUUGGAAUGCUGGCUGAUCCAAGAGAGGCUCGUGCUGGAAUUCAAGAAGUUCAUUUCCU